Molecule: ribosomal RNA, 229 nt
Filed under: uncultured bacterium
Lineage: Bacteria
Description: partial 16S ribosomal RNA
Rfam family: Bacterial small subunit ribosomal RNA
Source: RNAcentral
UGCGUAGGCGGGCUAAUAAGUCAGUGGUGAAAUCUUCCGGCUCAACCGGGAACCUGCCAUUGAUACUGUUAGUCUUGAGUACGGCUGAGGUAGGCGGAAUGUGUAAUGUAGCGGUGAAAUGCUUAGAUAUUACACAGAACACCAAUUGCGUAGGCAGCUUACUAGACCGUAACUGACGCUGAGGCACGAAAGCGUGGGUAGCGAACAGGAUUAGAUACCCUGGUAGUCC